GUUGCCUAGGUCUCCAUUGAAAAUGCUGAUGCCGCUGCAGUUAUGGGCUAAACUUGCAGACAGCCGCUGAUUCAGAAUCGCUCUAUGUUCGUGAAGCUUGACAGGCCUGCUCUUGACGUGUUGACAGUGAGGACAAUGUUCACCCUUGUUUUUUAGUCUUUUUCUUUUUUGUAUGCAAGGGCUGAAUACUGGAAACAUCUGGGAUUCAGAAGUGUGGACAUGUGUUGGUG
Pelobates cultripes (western spadefoot toad) is the source of this 230-nucleotide non-coding RNA. The record is from the annotation of a GenBank genome assembly. Lineage: Eukaryota; Metazoa; Chordata; Amphibia; Anura; Pelobatidae.